Molecule: non-coding RNA, 27 nt
Filed under: Rattus norvegicus (Norway rat)
Lineage: Eukaryota; Metazoa; Chordata; Mammalia; Rodentia; Muridae
Source: RNAcentral
UGAAGAGUUGAAGUUUUAUUUCUUUAG